UACGUAGGGGGCAAGCGUUGUCCGGAUUUAUUGAGCGUAAAGAGCGUGUAGGCGGCCUGACAAGUCUGCUGUGAAAACUCGAGGCUCAACCUCGAGAUGUCGGCGGAAACUGUCUGGCUAGAGUCCGGAAGAGGAGAGUGGAAUUCCUGGUGUAGCGGUGAAAUGCGCAGAUAUCAGGAAGAACACCUAUGGCGAAGGCAGCUCUCUGGGACGGUACUGACGCUGAGACGCGAAAGCGUGGGGAGCGAACAGG
This 253-nucleotide ribosomal RNA is filed under the name uncultured bacterium. RNAcentral describes it as "partial 16S ribosomal RNA". It matches the Rfam family "Bacterial small subunit ribosomal RNA", at positions 524 to 776 of the family's 1533-position model. The record is from RNAcentral.